CGGGUAGUGGCUCAGCUUGGUAGAGCGCCUGGUUCGGGACUAGGAGGUCGCAAGUUCAAAUCUUGUCUACCCGACCA
RNAcentral lists this transfer RNA (77 nucleotides) under Tenericutes bacterium GWA2_35_7. Its description in RNAcentral is "tRNA-Pro". It matches the Rfam family "tRNA". From Rfam's summary of the family: Transfer RNA (tRNA) molecules are approximately 80 nucleotides in length. Their secondary structure includes four short double-helical elements and three loops (D, anti-codon, and T loops). The record is from RNAcentral. Lineage: Bacteria; Bacillati; Mycoplasmatota. RNAcentral also lists the same sequence under 11 other names.